UCCCACCCGUGUUUACUGUACCUUAGUUGCUUCGGCGGGCCCGCCAUUCAUGGCCGCCGGGGGCUCUCAGCCCCGGGCCCGCGCCCGCCGGAGACACCACGAACUCUGUCUGAUCUAGUGAAGUCUGAGUUGAUUGUAUCGCAAUCAGUUAAAACUUUCAACAAUGGAUCUCUUGGUUCCGGCAUCGAUGAAGAACGCAGCGAAAUGCGAUAACUAGUGUGAAUUGCAGAAUUCCGUGAAUCAUCGAGUCUUUGAACGCACAUUGCGCCCCCUGGUAUUCCGGGGGGCAUGCCUGUCCGAGCGUCAUUGCUGCCCAUCAAGCACGGCUUGUGUGUUGGGUCGUCGUCCCCUCUCCGGGGGGGACGGGCCCCAAAGGCAGCGGCGGCACCGCGUCCGAUCCUCGAGCGUAUGGGGCUUUGUCACCCGCUCUGUAGGCCCGGCCGGCGCUUGCCGAACGCAAAUCAAUCUUUUUCCAGGUUGACCUCGGAUCAGGUAGGGAUACCCGCUGAACUUAAGCAUAUCAAUAA
RNAcentral lists this ribosomal RNA (527 nucleotides) under Aspergillus oryzae. RNAcentral describes it as "eukaryotic LSU rRNA". The stretch from base 153 to 306 matches the Rfam family "5.8S ribosomal RNA". Lineage: Eukaryota; Fungi; Ascomycota; Eurotiomycetes; Eurotiales; Aspergillaceae. The record is from RNAcentral.